RNAcentral lists this unclassified non-coding RNA (264 nucleotides) under plant metagenome. RNAcentral describes it as "partial contains small subunit ribosomal RNA, internal transcribed spacer 1, and 5.8S ribosomal RNA". The record is from RNAcentral.
GUUCCGUAGGUGAACUUGCGGAAGGAUCAUUAUUGAAAUUUCAUCCGGGCCGCCGCGGCCCUCAGCACCGUUGGAAACGCCGUGCUACGGGGGCCGCGCGUGCACUCGUCCAAACCAAACCCCUUUGAACCAUACGGGAUGGCCCGGGUUAGCGCCCGGUGCCGUUCCGCGUUAUACAAACACUUAUCAAAGAAUGAACUGAAGGCGGUCUGACCGCUGGAUAACUAACUGAAAAAACUUUCAACAACGGAUCUCUUGGCUCUC